GAUGAACGCUGACAGAAUGCUUAACACAUGCAAGUCAACGUGAGUUUGGGUUUUUAACUUGGGUUUGGGUGGCGGACGGGUGAGUAACGCUUAAAGAACUUGCCGCACAGCUAGGGAACACAUUUGGAAACGAAUGCUAAUACCUAAUAUUAUGAUAAUGGAGCAUCGUAUAAUUAUGAAAGCUCUAAGCGCUGUGAGAGAGCUUUGCGUUCAAUUAGCUAGUUGGAGAGGUAACGGCUCACCAAGGCGACGAUGGGUAGCCGGCCUGAGAGGGUGACCGGCCACAAGGGGACUGAGACGCGGCCCUUACGCAAAAGGGAGGCAGGAGUGGGAGAUAUUGGACAACGGACCGAGAGUCUGAUGAAGCAAUUCUGUGUGCACGAUGAAGUUUGUCGGAAUGUAAAGUGCUUUGAGUUGGGAAGAAAGAAAUGACGUUACCAACAGAAGAAGUGACGGCUAAAUACGUG
This 467-nucleotide ribosomal RNA is filed under the name uncultured bacterium. Its description in RNAcentral is "partial 16S ribosomal RNA". It matches the Rfam family "Bacterial small subunit ribosomal RNA", at positions 28 to 507 of the family's 1533-position model. The record is from RNAcentral.